This is a long non-coding RNA of Polypterus senegalus (gray bichir), 485 nucleotides long. RefSeq lists it as uncharacterized. NCBI's taxonomy places the organism in Eukaryota, Metazoa, Chordata, Cladistia, Polypteriformes, Polypteridae. The transcript is spliced from 3 exons. The record is from RefSeq and is a predicted model, not a curated record.
GCAGAGAAGUGCAAGCUAGAAUCACCAUGUGAUUUACAUCUAAAUGACACGUUUUAUUUAGGGAUACGAAACAGCCUGAAAUUAUCAGGAGCAUAUAGAAAACACGGUACAACAGGUAAAGAACUCCAGACACCUCAGUGGGUGUUCUCUGACUGAAAAUGACCCAGUAAGGAAGAAACACCAUAAAAGUCCUUCCUCUUCAUUCUACAUGAUGUCAAGACUACAAUACAAGAAAAGGGGGAACUCUGCCUAGAGUUAAGCAGACUUGCUGCUGAAGAUAUCCUCACUUUGAGAAUCAGGAAGUGUGAGACCAUUACAGGAAAAAGGAACAUUUUGAAGUGAAUCAGACGUUCAUUGGAAAAGACCCACCUCUGAAGAUACAGUGAAGAAUCCUGGGAACCAAGCCAGCUGAGAAAAGUCACAAAACCAAAAAGUGUACUGCCCGUUCUCGUCAAAUGUCUCCCAAUUACACCUCGAAAAGGGAA